UUCAUGAUCAAAAAGGGAUAUACGAUUUUUUAAAAAUGCUUUGAUUUUCGUUUUAUAUUUAGAAUAACAAGAAAGUAAAAUCAGUAAGAGGCAGAAACGAAAAAAGUCAGUUUUUUCAUUUUCUGAGACCGGAAGUGGUCAUCAGCAAGUGUGGAGCCAAACGACAACAAGAUUCUCAGAGGGCGGAGCCAGAGAACAGCGAUUGGUCAGACCAUAGAUAAUAUAGAAGACAGCGUGCUAGCGUAUCUAGUGUAUGUGUAUCUGUGGUCGGCACGUCUGGUAGCAUCUCUGGCUGCUGUUGACCUUGUUUUUGGAGUAAAACACGGUGGAAGCUGAAUUAGUGAGGAUGACUCCUGCUCCUGUCAUCUCUAAGCUCCUCACACAUCUUUACCUGCACAUGAGGAAAAUCACUCCUGUAGAAUGCAGAUGUUCAGAGGGAGAUGAUGCCACAUCUGGUCCAGCUGAUGGAAGGUCUUGAAGUUCUCUGACUGGCCUCGACUGAAGAUGGUCGUCUCACUGGAUUUAAGAUGCACAAUGAGGGACGUCUACAGAGACUGAGAAAGAGUCUCACCACAUCCUGACAUGAGGAAAAAGACUUUAUUGAAGACUACAAUGAGAAAAACUAUCAGACAGCAGACGGCUGCAUUCAAGGUGAGCUCUGAACAUUUGAUCUGGAACAGGAAUUCAAUAACGGCAGCAUGAGCUUCAUUUCAGUCUGUAGCUGCUGAAUUCAUGGAUGAAUCAUCUGGCACUAGAGAAGAAGACCAUCAAACAUCCACGUCAGCUGAUGGAGGUCCAAGAGUCUCAC
This is a long non-coding RNA of Amphiprion ocellaris (clown anemonefish), 808 nucleotides long. RefSeq lists it as uncharacterized. The record is from RefSeq and is a predicted model, not a curated record. The transcript has 4 exons. NCBI's taxonomy places the organism in Eukaryota, Metazoa, Chordata, Actinopteri, Pomacentridae.